UUCUAAGGGCGUUGAAGCAUGAUCGCAAGGACAUGUGGAGCGCUUAGAAGUGAGAAUGCCGGUGUGAGUAGCGAAAGACGGGUGAGAAUCCCGUCCACCGAUUGACUAAGGUUUCCAGAGGAAGGCUCGUCCGCUCUGGGUUAGUCGGGUCCUAAGCUGAGGCCGACAGGCGUAGGCGAUGGAUAACAGGUUGAUAUUCCUGUACCACCAUUAUUCGUUUUAAGCGAUGGGGGGACGCAGUAGGAUAGGCGAAGCGUGCUGUUGGAGUGCACGUCCAAGCAGUGAGAUUGAGUGUUAGGCAAAUCCGGCACUCUUAAGAUUGAGCUGUGAUGGGGAGAGGAACUUGUUCCUCGAGUCGUUGAUUUCACACUGCCGAGAAAAGCCUCUAGCUAGAAUAACGGUGCCCGUACCGCAAACCGACACAGGUAGUCAAGAUGAGAAUUCUAAGGUGAGCGAGCGAACUCUCGUUAAGGAACUCGGCAAAAUGACCCCGUAACUUCGGGAGAAGGGGUGCUCUUUGAGGUUCACGCUUCGAAGAGCCGCAGUGAAUAGGCCCAAGCGACUGUUUAUCAAAAACACAGGUCUCUGCUAAACCGUAAGGUGACGUAUAGGGGCUGACGCCUGCCCG
This 628-nucleotide ribosomal RNA is filed under the name Staphylococcus pseudintermedius. Its description in RNAcentral is "partial 23S ribosomal RNA". It matches the Rfam family "Bacterial large subunit ribosomal RNA", at positions 1239 to 1865 of the family's 2925-position model. Lineage: Bacteria; Bacillati; Bacillota; Bacilli; Caryophanales; Staphylococcaceae. The record is from RNAcentral.